GACGAACGCUGGCGGCAUGCCUAAUACAUGCAAGUCGAACGGUGACGAGAGCUUCGGCUCUCUGAUCAGUGGCGGACGGGUGAGUAACACGUGAGCAACCUGCCUAUCAGAGGGGGACAACAGUUGGAAACGACUGCUAAUACCGCAUAACAUCAUCGGAAGGCAUCUUCUGAUGAUCAAAGAUUUAUCGCUGAUAGAUGGGCUCGCGUCUGAUUAGAUAGUUGGCGGGGUAACGGCCCACCAAGUCGACGAUCAGUAGCCGGACUGAGAGGUUGAACGGCCACAUUGGGACUGAGACACGGCCCAG
This 307-nucleotide ribosomal RNA is filed under the name uncultured bacterium. Its description in RNAcentral is "bacterial SSU rRNA". It matches the Rfam family "Bacterial small subunit ribosomal RNA", at positions 28 to 334 of the family's 1533-position model. The record is from RNAcentral.